CGUUGAGUUUGGACAUCGGGAUGCCCAUCCCCUUGAGGGUGUCGGCGUACAUGAUGUUCAAGCCGCUGCCGCCAUCCAUGAGGACUUUGCGCAGUCGGACUCCUUCUACCACCGGGUCGACGACCAGGGCCUGUCUCCCCGGGGUGGGUACAUGUGCCGGAUGAUCCGACUGGUCGAAGGUGAUCGCAGUCUGAGACCAUUUGAGGAACUUGGGGUUGGAAGGGGUGGCCAUGUUCACCUCUCUGUUCACCAGCUUCAGUCGGCUCUUGCUCUCGACAUCAGCAAAGAUC
Molecule: long non-coding RNA, 290 nt
Filed under: Hordeum vulgare
Lineage: Eukaryota; Viridiplantae; Streptophyta; Magnoliopsida; Poales; Poaceae
Description: long non-coding RNA (HVUL_LNC017044)
Source: RNAcentral